Molecule: transfer RNA, 77 nt
Filed under: Chloroflexota bacterium
Lineage: Bacteria; Bacillati; Chloroflexota
Also listed under: 1 other name
Description: Chloroflexi bacterium tRNA-Val
Rfam family: tRNA
About the family: Transfer RNA (tRNA) molecules are approximately 80 nucleotides in length. Their secondary structure includes four short double-helical elements and three loops (D, anti-codon, and T loops). Further hydrogen bonds mediate the characteristic L-shaped molecular structure. tRNAs have two regions of fundamental functional importance: the anti-codon, which is responsible for specific mRNA codon recognition, and the 3' end, to which the tRNAs corresponding amino acid is attached (by aminoacyl-tRNA synthetases). tRNAs cope with the degeneracy of the genetic code in two manners: having more than one tRNA (with a specific anti-codon) for a particular amino acid; and 'wobble' base-pairing, i.e. permitting non-standard base-pairing at the 3rd anti-codon position.
Source: RNAcentral
GGGCGGUUAGCUCAGAUGGUUAGAGCGUCUGCUUUACACGCAGAAGGCCGGGGGUUCGAGUCCCUCACCGCCCACCA